GGGAGGGGGAGGGGCGAGGGGGCGGGGCCAAGUCCCGGCUGGCGACGGCGGCGGCGUCGGAACUCGCUGGAAGACUCAGCCCAGAGCUGCUCAACAGUUCGCAAAGUCCGGGCUCCCGGCCGCGUGGCUCCGUGUGCGCCCGGGCGGCGUUGGGGCGCGGGGGCCCGGGCUGCUGCAUGGUGGGCGGCCCGGGACAUGCCCCGCACCCCCCGCCGGACGCCCGCGUGGCUCCUCUGGCUGCGACUGCUCCGGACUCUGAGCCUAGAUUGACCGGCGCCCUAACUUCUUUCUGACUUUGGGGUCCCCCAGCCCUAGAGGAACGGGCAUCUCGGCUGGGGGAGCCCCGGACAUGGUGUGACGGGGCGGGCGGCGUGGCUGCGCCCCCCACUGCGGCCACGCACGGUCCCCGCGCCUUCCGGCAUGUAGCUGCUGUUCUCGCUCCCCCCGGCCUCCAGCCGCAGUCUCCACGACCUCCGGCCUCCAGGCGCCAACUCUUUGUCCCCCCAGGAUCCCGCCGCGGUCCUCAGGAUUGCAGCCGCCGUCUCUUCGUCCUCCGAAUUCCAGUUUCACCUGCCUUCGCGCCCCUGGGACACCAGCCGCUGUCCCUGCCACCUCCCCAGGAUCCAGCCAGCGCUCUAGCUCACCUGCACCUCCCCAACCCACCCUGCAGCCGUCGUCUCCGCUCUCCGGGCCAGUCUAGACUGCAGCCGGUGACUCCGCGUCUACCCCAAACCCAGACUCCAGCCGUGACCUCCGCGCCCCGGGGAAUCCAGCUGUCGCGCCUCUGGCCGCAGGUGCAGCUGCCGCCCCGCGCCGCGCGCCCCGAGUGCGGCCGGGCCUCGGCGGGGAGAUGAACGCACAGCUGGACGGCCUGUCGGUGAGCUCGUCCUCCACCGGCUCGCUGGGCUCGGCGGCGGCGGCGGCGGGCGGCGGCGGGGGCGCGGGGUUGCGGCUGCUGUCUGCCAACGUGCGCCAGCUGCACCAAGCGCUCACGGCGCUGCUGAGCGAGCCCGAGCGGGAGCAGUUCACUCACUGCCUCAACGCGUACCACGCGCGCCGCAACGUCUUCGACCUGGUGCGCACCCUGCGCGUCCUGCUGGACAGCCCGGUCAAGCGGCGUCUGCUGCCCAUGCUGCGUCUGGUCAUCCCGCGCUCCGACCAGCUGCUCUUCGACCAGUACACGGCCGAGGGCCUCUACCUGCCAGCCACCACCCCCUACAGGCAGCCCGCCUGGGCCGCUCCCGACGGCGCGGGGCCCGGGGAGGUGCGACUCGUGAGCCUGCGGCGCGCCAAGGCCCACGAGGGCUUGGGCUUCAGCAUCCGCGGGGGCUCGGAACACGGCGUGGGCAUCUACGUGUCUCUAGUGGAGCCGGGCUCCCUGGCAGAGAAGGAAGGGUUGCGGGUCGGGGACCAGAUUCUGCGCGUCAACGAUAAAUCUCUAGCCCGGGUGACCCACGCGGAGGCUGUCAAGGCUCUCAAAGGCUCCAAGAAGCUGGUGCUGUCUGUAUACUCAGCUGGGCGUAUCCCAGGGGGCUAUGUGACCAACCACAUCUACACCUGGGUGGACCCACAGGGUCGAAGCACAUCCCCUCCCUCCAGCCUGCCCCAGCCCCAUGGCAGCACCCUGAGACAGCGUGAAGAUGACCGAAGGAGUACCCUCCACCUCCUGCAGAGUGGAGAUGAGAAAAAGGUGAACCUGGUGUUGGGGGACGGCCGGUCCUUGGGCCUCACGAUCCGAGGUGGAGCAGAGUACGGCCUUGGCAUUUACAUCACUGGUGUGGACCCAGGCUCUGAAGCAGAGAGCAGCGGCCUCAAGGUUGGAGACCAGAUUCUGGAGGUGAAUGGGCGGAGCUUUCUCAACAUCCUGCAUGAUGAGGCAGUGAAGCUGCUCAAGUCAUCCCGGCACCUCAUCCUGACGGUGAAGGACGUCGGAAGGCUGCCCCACGCACGUACCACCGUGGACCAGACCAAGUGGAUCGCCAGUUCCCGGAUCGGGGAAAGCGUCGCCAACUCAGCAGGGUUUCCAGGGGACCACACAGAAGAAGGGACAAGCAAGCCAGGAUUUUACAAGGGCCCAGCCGGCUCCCAGGUGACCCUGAGCAGCCUGGGGAAUCAGACUCGUGCACUGCUGGACGACCAAGCCAGGCACCUGCUGACAGAGCAGGAGCGCGCCACCAUGAUGUACUACCUGGCCCAGUACCGUGGUGGCACCAUCUCUGUGGAGGCCAUGGUCAUGGCACUGUUUGAGUUGCUCAACACACACGCCAAGUUCUCACUCCUGUCUGAGGUGAGAAGCAUCAUCUCACCCCAAGACCUGGACCGCUUUGACCACCUGGUGCUGAGGCGCGAGAUCGAGUCUAUGAAGGCGAGGCAGCCCCCCGGCCCCGGGGUUGGAGACACGUAUUCCAUGGUUUCCUACAGCGACACAGGCUCAUCCACAGGCAGCCACGGCACCUCUACAACCGUCAGCUCGGCCAGGGUGUGACCUUGGACAGACUGCUCCCUUCCAGCCUGCCUUUCCAUCUGUGAAUGGAAAUGCUGGCACCAAACCUGCCCCAAGUUGCUGACCUAUGGAGACCCCCAGCCCCAAGGAUAAAGCUGGCUCCUCGGAGCAGCAAGGCCUCCCAGCUUCUCCUGAGGACCCUGCUGUUCCCCUCAAUAGGAGCGGCUGCUGUGGCUUAUAGACCUGAUGGAGAAUACAUUAGACCUGGAAGGAACCGGUGAGACCACCCAGGGCAGCACCAACGCUCUCCCGGAUGUGUCUGUGGAUGAUGUCAAAUCCCCCUCAGAAGAUCUGCCUGGUAUCAAGCCACCUCCUCCCCCACCACCCCUGGCUCAAGGUCAUGACCGCUUGCUUGGCCAGCCACGGAAGCCAGGGAGGGAGGACCCCGCACCUCUGUCUUCUGCUGCCCACUCAGGCAUUGUCUUCUCAGCACCACGGAACCGCAGCCCGCCGCCAGGGACUGCUCCCACUCCGGGACCUUCCUCAGCACAGGACUCUCCCUCCUCCCCCAUUUAUGCCUCCAUCUCCCAUGCCAACCCCAGUUCCAGAAAGCCGCUGGACACCCACCUGGCCCUGGUUAACCAGCACCCCAUCGGCCCCUUCCCUCGAGUCCAGUCCCCACCUCACCUGAAGAGCCCUCCUGCAGAGACCCCAGGAGCUGGGGCCUGCCUUCCACCACCAUCACCCUCUGAACACCCUGACGCCGUGGGUGCAAACCAGCACUUUGUUCUGGUGGAGGUGCACCGUCCGGACAGUGAGCCUGAUGUGAAUGAAGUGCGGGCUCUGCCCCAGACUCGCACAGCCUCCACACUCUCUCAGCUCUCAGACAGUGGGCAGACCCUGAGCGAGGACAGUGGCGUGGAUGCCGGGGAGACGGAGGCCAGCACCUCAGGCCGAGGCAGACAGACAGCAUCCGCUAAGAACAAGAAUGGCAAGGAGCAGCCCCGGACGGAGAGGACCGCGGAGGGUGCCAACAAACCUCCCGGCCUGCUGGAGCCAACGUCCACCCUGGUCCGUGUGAGGAAAAGUGCAGCCACACUGGGCAUCGCCAUUGAGGGCGGUGCCAACACACGCCAGCCUCUGCCCAGGAUCGUCACAAUUCAGCGAGGAGGUUCUGCCCAUAACUGUGGACAGCUCAAGGUGGGCCACGUAAUUCUGGAAGUGAAUGGGCAGACACUUCGGGGUAAGGAGCACAAGGAGGCCGCCCGAAUCAUCGCUGAGGCCUUCAAGACCAAGGAGAGAGACUACAUCGACUUUCUGGUCACUGAGUUCAACGUGAUGCUCUAGGGGUGGGGCCAAGUUCAGGGCUAUCAGCCGGGGUCACAGGCAGAGUCUCCCACCCCACCCUGACACAUACACCCUGCCUGGGCCCUUGGCCCAGACUAGGAGAAGAAGAGGGCCAGACAAGGCAAGCAGAAAGUCAGGUUAAAACCUGUGUGCCAGAAACACAGUAGGGGCUCAAUAAAACUAUGUUAGGUGAAGGGAAGGAAGGCAGAGUACAUUUCUCUAGGCUGGAGAGGGGUACUGCCACCCCAGAUGCCUAGGCCUUUGGCUGUGAGGACACAGGAGAGUUCACACAGACUGCUUCCUGCCAGGAGGACCUUCAGUGCCACAAAUGAGCCGCCAGCACGCUUGUUCACACCAGUCGCACCCCCUUCCUCCUGGCUCCGUGCCCCUAUGGUAUUUAUUUAUUUAUUUAUUUCCCUUCCUGUGCUUCAGGGGAGCCCCCCCCCCAAAGGCCCCAGCUUCCCUUUGCACUCCCAGCCUAUCCCAGAGGCCUUGCAGGCGACCAGCAAUGUCAGUGUAUUUAUAUACAGAGCUUAUGACUUUAAUUUUUCAAUAAAUAAAUCUGAACAAGGUUGG
Molecule: RNA transcript, 4366 nt
Organism: Mus musculus (house mouse)
Lineage: Eukaryota; Metazoa; Chordata; Mammalia; Rodentia; Muridae
Gene: Whrn
Gene name: whirlin
Exons: 14
Source: RefSeq, marked reviewed